This is a long non-coding RNA of Pezoporus occidentalis (night parrot), 473 nucleotides long. RefSeq lists it as uncharacterized. The record is from RefSeq and is a predicted model, not a curated record. The transcript has 3 exons. Lineage: Eukaryota; Metazoa; Chordata; Aves; Psittaciformes; Psittacidae.
UCACCAUUUUCGGUGCACAGAGGCACAACUCACAAUUUAAGUGGCAGUUAAACCAUCAACACCAGUCUCAUUUCAGUAACCAGUUAGAACAGUCAGCUGCCAAAACAACAGAAACUCAGCCAGAGGAAGCAGAAACAAGUUACUUCAGCAAGCAGAGUAACAUACUGAAGAAUACAGAAAACAGAUCUUACUGACAAGUACUCUUACUCUACCUGACCAAACUCAGAACCUGGUGGGAAAUAGUAAGAAAACAUAAAAGGAGACCGAAGGAGACUAAAUACAUAGAGAAUCAGAACUUAAGAGAAGAACAAAACAGAACAGAAAAUUUUCUUGAGACUGAUAACAAAAAAGGCAAAUAAGAAUCUACUGCUGUAUACUUAAAUUUCCUCUGUUAUUUGUGAUCUCUGGAAUUUUGCACUGGUUUUAACAUGACAUUUCAAAAUAUCUCUGCUUUCCAAAUUGCCAUAUUGGAC